GACGAACGCUGGCGGCGUGCUUAACACAUGCAAGUCGAGCGAGGCCCCUCCUUCGGGAGGGUGUCCUAGCGGCGAACGGGUGAGUAACACGUGGGCAACCUGCCCUCAGCUCUGGGAUAACUCCGGGAAACCGGGGCUAAUACCGGAUACGACCUCCACGGGCAUCUGCGGAGGUGGAAAGUUUUUCGGCUGAGGAUGGGCCCGCGGCCUAUCAGCUAGUUGGUGGGGUAGUGGCCCACCAAGGCGACGACGGGUAGCCGGCCUGAGAGGGCGACCGGCCACACUGGGACUGAGACACGGCACAGACUCCUACGGGAGGGAGCAGUGGGGAAUAUUGCGCAAUGGGAGAAAGCGUGACGCAGCGACGCCGCGUGAGGGACGAAGGCCUUCGGGUUGUAAACCUCUUUCAGCAGGGACGAAGCGAAAGUGACGGUACCUGCAGAAGAAGAACCGGCAAACUACGU
This 464-nucleotide ribosomal RNA is filed under the name uncultured bacterium. RNAcentral's name for it is "partial 16S ribosomal RNA". It matches the Rfam family "Bacterial small subunit ribosomal RNA", at positions 28 to 506 of the family's 1533-position model. The record is from RNAcentral.